RNAcentral lists this long non-coding RNA (5416 nucleotides) under Citrus x clementina. RNAcentral's name for it is "Citrus clementina (C. clementina) long non-coding RNA (CCLE_LNC006059)". Lineage: Eukaryota; Viridiplantae; Streptophyta; Magnoliopsida; Sapindales; Rutaceae. The record is from RNAcentral.
CCCAAAAAUAACCGCCCGAAGGCCGGGGCGCCACGUUCGUCCAGCGGAAAAAGGCCACAAAAACGGGUGGGCUAUAGCCUUGGGGGGUGGGGCUGGCCCACUUCGUCAGCCUGACUCGGAAUACUGCGAGACUUUGCGAGCGGCCUCCGUGUGCCAAAAAUAGGACGGGGACAGAGCCGCGCCCAAAAAUAACCGCCCGAAGGCCUGGGUGCCAAGUUCGUCCAGCGGAAAAAGGCCACAAAAACGGGUGGGCUACAGCCUUGGGGGGUGGGGCUGGCCAACUUCGUCCGCCGGACUCGGAAUGCCGCGAGACUUUGCGAGGGGCCUCCGUGUGCCAAAAAUAGGCCGCGGGCAAAGCCGCGCCCAAAAAUAACCGUCCGAAGGCCGGGGAGCCAAGUUCGUCCAGCGGAAAAAGGCCACAAAAACGGGUGGGCUAUAGGCUUGGGGGGUGGGGCUGGCCAACUUCGUCCGCUGGUCUCGGAAUGCCACGAGACUUUGCGAGGGGCCUCCGUGUGCCAAAAAUAGGCCGCGGGCAAAGCCGCGCCCAAAAAUAACCGCCCGAAGGCCGGGGUGCCAAGUUCGUCCAGCGGAAAAAGGCCACAAAAACGGGUGGGCUAUAGCCUUGGGGGGUGGGGCUGGCCAACUUCGUCCGCCGGACUCGGAAUGCCGCGAGACUUUGCGAGGGGCCUCCGUGUGCCAAAAAUAGGCCGCGGACAAAGCCGCGCCCAAAAAUAACCGUCCGAAGGCCGGGGAGCCAAGUUCGUCCAGCGGAAAAAGGCCACAAAAACGGGUGGGCUAUAGCCUUGGGGGGUGGGGCUGGCCAACUUCGUCCGCCGGACUCGGAAUGCCGCGAGACUUUGCGAGGGGCCUCCGUGUGCCAAAAAUAGGCCGCGGGCAAAGCCGCGCCCAAAAAUAACCGCGCGAAGGCCGGGGCGCCAAGUUCGUCCAGCGGAAAAAGGCGACAAAAACGGGUGGGCUAUAGCCUUGGCGGCUGGGGCUGGCCAACUUCGUCCGCCGGACCCGGAAUGUCGCGAGACUUUGCGAGGGGCUUCCAUGUCCCAAAAAUAGGCCGCGGGCAAAGCCGCGCCCAAAAAUAACUGCCCGAAAGCCGGGGCGCCAAGUUCGUACAGCGGAAAAAGGCCACAAAAACGGGUUGGCUAUAGCCUUGGGGGGUGGGGCUGGCCAACUUCGUCCGCCGGACUCGGAAUGCCGCGAGACUUUGCAAGGGGCCUCUGUGUGCCAAACAUAGGCCACGGACAAAGCCGAGCACACAAAUAACCGCCCGAAGGCCGGGGCGCCAAGUUCGUCCAGCGGAAAAAGGCCACAAAAACGUGUCGGCUAUAGCCUUGGGGGGUGGGCUGGCCAACUUCGUCCGCCGGACUCGGAAUGCCACGAGACUUCGCGAGGGGCCUCCGUGUGCCAAAUAUAGGCCGCGGGCAAAGCCUCGCCCAAAAAUAACCGCCCCAAGACCGGGGCGCCAAGUUCGUCCAGCGGAAAAAGGCCACAAAAACGGGUGGGCUAUAGCCUUGGGGGGUGGGGCUGGCCCACUUCGUCAGCCUGACUCGGAAUGCCGCGAGACUUUGCGAGCGGCCUCCGUGUGCCAAAAAUAGGCCACGGGCAAAGCCUCGCCCAAAAAUAACCGCCCCAAGACCGGGGCGCCAGGUUCGUCCAGCGGAAAAAGGCCACAAAAACGGGUGGGCUAUAGCCUUGGGGGGUGGGCUGGCCCAAUUCCUUCGCCGGAAUCGGAAUGGCCCGAGACUUCUCCAGGGGCCUCCGUGUGCCAAAUAUAGGCCGCGGGCAAAGCCUCGCCCAAAAAUAACCGCCCCAAGACCGGGGCGCCAAGUUCGUCCAGCGGAAAAAGGCCACAAAAACGGGUGGGCUAUAGCCUUCGGGGGUGGGGCUGGCCAACUUCGUCCGCCGGACUCGGAAUGCCGCGAGACUUUGUGAGGGGCCUCCGUGUGCCAAAAAUAGGCCGCGGACAAAGCCGCGCCCAAAAAUAACCGUCCGAAGGCCGGGGAGCCAAGUUCGUCCAGCGGAAAAAGGCCACAAAAACGGGUUGGCUAUAGCCUUGGGGGAUGGGGCUGGCCAACUUCGUCCGCCGGACUCGGAAUGCCGCGAGACUUUGCAAGGGGCCUCUGUGUGCCAAACAUAGGCCACGGACAAAGCCGAGCACACAAAUAACCGCCCGAAGGACGGGGCGCCAAGUUCGUCCAGCGGAAAAAGGCCACAAAAACGUGUCGGCUAUAGCCUUGGGGGGUGGGCUGGCCAACUUCGUCCGCCGGACUCGGAAUGCCACGAGACUUCGCGAGGGGCCUCCGUGUGCCAAAUAUAGGCCGCGGGCAAAGCCUCGCCAAAAAAUAACCACCCGAAGGCCGGGGAGCCAAGUUCGUCCAGCGGAAAAAGGCCACAAAAACGGGUGGGCUAUAGCCUUGGGGGGUGGUGCUGGCCGACUUCGUCCGCCGGACUCGGAAUUCCGCGACAAUUUGCGAGGGGCCUCCAUGUGCCAAAAAUAGGCCACGGGCAAAGCCGCGCCCAAAAAUAACCGCCCGAAGGCCAGGGCGCCAAGUUCGUCCAGCGGAAAAAGGCCACAAAAACGGGUGCGCUAUAGCCUUGGGGGUUGGGGCUGGCCAACUUCGUCCGCCGGACUCGGAAUGCCGCGAGACAUUGCGAGGGGCCUCCGUGUGCCAAAAAUAGGCCGCGGGCAAAGCCGCGCCCAAAAAAAACUGCCCGAAGGCCGGGGCGCCAAGUUCGUCCAGCGGAAAAAGGCCACAAAAAUAGGUGGGCUAUAGCCUUGGGGGGUGGGGCUGGCCAACUUCGUCCGCCGGACUCGGAAUGCCGCGAGACUUUGCGAGGAGCCUCCGUGUGCCAAAAAUAGGCCAUGGGCACAGCCGCGUCCAAAAAUAACCACCCGAAGGCCAGGGCGCCAAGUUCAUCCAGCGGAAAAAGGCCACAAAAACGGGUUGGCUAUAGCCUUGGGGGGUGGGGCUGGCCAACUUCGUCCGCCGGACUCGGAAUGCCGCGAGACUUUGCAAGGGGCCUCUGUGUGCCAAACAUAGGCCACGGACAAAGCCGAGCACACAAAUAACCGCCCGAAGGCCGGGGCGCCAAGUUUGUCCAGCGGAAAAAGGCCACAAAAACGUGUCGGCUAUAGCCUUGGGGGGUGGGCUGGCCAACUUCGUCCGCCGGACUCGGAAUGCCACGAGACUUCGCGAGGGGCCUCCGUGUGCCAAAUAUAGGCCGCGGUCAAAGCCUCGCCCAAAAAUAACCGCCCGAAGGCCGGGGCGCCAAGUUCGUCCAGCGGAAAAAGGCCACAAAAACGGGUGGGCUAUAGCCUUGGGGGGUGGUGCUGGCCGACUUCGUCCGCCGGACUCGGAAUUCUGCGACAAUUUGCGAGGGGCCUCCAUGUGCCAAAAAUAGGCCACGGGCAAAGCCGCGCCCAAAAAUAACCGCCCGAAGGCCGGGGCGCCAAGUUCGUCCAGCGGAAAAAGGCCACAAAAACGGGUGCGCUAUAGCCUUGGGGGGUGGGGCAGGCCAACUUCGUCCGCCGGACUCGGAAUGCCGCGAGACGUUGCGAGGGGCCUCCGUGUGCCAAAAAUAGGCCGCGGGCAAAGCCGCGCCCAAAAAAAACUGCCCGAAGGCCGGGGCGCCAAGUUCGUCCAGCGGAAAAAGGCCACAAAAAUGGGUGGGCUAUAGCCUUGGGCGGUGGGGCUGGUCCACUUCGUCCGCCAUUCUUGGAAUGCCGUGAGACUUUGCGAGGGGUCUCCAUGUGCCAAAUAUCGGCCGCGGGCAAAGCCGCGCCCAAAAAUAACCGCCCCAAGACCGGGGCGCCAAGUUCGUCCAGCCGAAAAAGGCCACAAAAAUGGGUGGGCUAUAACCUUGGGGGGUGGAGCUGGCCCACUUCGUCAGCCUGACUCGGAAUGCCGCGAGACUUUGUGAGCGGCCUCCGUGUGCCAAAAAUAGGCCGUGGGCACAGCCGCGUCCAAAAAUAACCAGCCGAAGGCCAGGGCGCCAAGUUCAUCCAGCGGAAAAAGGCCACAAAAACGGGUGGGCUAUAGCCUUGGGGGGUGGGGCUGGCCAACUUCGUCCGCCAAACUCGGAAUGCCGCGAGACUUUGCAAGGGGCCUCUGUGUGCCAAACAUAGGCCACGGACAAAGCCGAGCACACAAAUAACCGCCCGAAGGCCGGGGCGCCAAGUUCGUCCAGCCGAAAAAGGCCACAAAAAUGGGUGGGCUAUAGCCUUGGGGGGUGGGGCUGGCCCACUUCGUCAGCCUGACUCGGAAUGCCGCGAGACUUUGCAAGGGGCCUCUGUGUGCCAAACAUAGGCCACGGACAAAGCCGAGCACACAAAUAACCGCCCGAAGGCCGGGGCGCCAAGUUCGUCCAGCCGAAAAAGGCCACAAAAAUGGGUGGGCUAUAACCUUGGGGGGUGGAGCUGGCCAACUUCAUCCGCCGGACUCGGAAUGCCGCGACAAUUUGCGAGGGGCCUCCAUGUGCCAAAAAUAGGCAGCGGGCAAAGCCGCGCCCAAAAAUAACCACCCGAAGGCCGGGGCGCCAAGUUCGUCCAGCGGAAAAAGGCCACAAAAACGGGUGCGCUAUAGCCUUGGGGGGUGGGGCUGGCCAACUUCGUCCGCCGGACUCGGAAUGCCGCGAGACAUUGCGAGGGGCCUCCGUGUGCCAAAAAUAGGCCGCGGGCAAAGCCGNNNNNNNNNNNNNNNNNNNNNNNNNNNNNNNNNNNNNNNNNNNNNNNNNNNNNNNNNNNNNNNNNNNNNNNNNNNNNNNNNNNNNNNNNNNNNNNNNNNNNNNNNNNNNNNNNNNNNNNNNNNNNNNNNNNNNNNNNNNNNNNNNNNNNNNNNNNNNNNNNAUAGGCCACGGGCAAAGCCACGCCCAAACAUAACCGCCCGAAGGCCGUGGCGCCAAGUUUGUCCAGCGGAAAAAUCCCACAAAUACGGGUGGGCUAUAGCCUUGGGCGGUGGGGCUGGCCAACUUCGUCCACCGGACUCGGAAUGGCGCGAGACUUUGCGAGGAACCUCCGUGUACCAAAAAUAGGCCGCCGGCAAAGCCGCGCCCAAAAAUAACCGCCCGAAGGCCGGGGCGCCAAGUUCGUCCAGCGGAAAAAGGCCACAAAAACGGGUGGGCUAUAGCCUUGGGGGGUGGGGCUGGCCCACUUCGUCCGCCGGACUCGGAAUGGCGCGAGUCUUUGCGAGGGGCCUCCGUGUGCCAAAAAUAGGCCGCGGGCAUAGCCGCGCCCAAAAAUAACCGCCCGAAGGCCGGGGCGCCAAGUUCGUCCAGCGGAGAAAGGCUACAAAAAUAGGUGGGCUAUAGCCUUGGGGGGUGGGGCUGGCCAACUUCGUCCGCCGGACUCGGAAUGGUGCCAGAGUUUGUGAGGUGCCUCCGUGUACCAAAAAUAGGCCGCGGG